This 362-nucleotide transfer-messenger RNA is filed under the name Silvanigrella paludirubra. RNAcentral describes it as "Standard tmRNA". It matches the Rfam family "transfer-messenger RNA". Rfam says of the family: Bacterial tmRNA, also known as 10Sa RNA or SsrA, is named for its dual tRNA and mRNA-like properties. Its role is to liberate the mRNA from a stalled ribosome. To accomplish this part of the tmRNA is used as a reading frame that ends in a translation stop signal. The record is from RNAcentral. Lineage: Bacteria; Pseudomonadati; Bdellovibrionota; Oligoflexia; Silvanigrellales; Silvanigrellaceae.
GGGGGUGAACUGGUUUCGACGGAGAGAGUUGAGUGAAAGGAGCAUGCAGGGGUUGGUUACAGCGCCUCUUUAAAACGUUGUGGCAGCCAGAAGUGGCAAAAACACUAAUCUAGCUCUCGCUGCCUAAAAAACACAGAGCCGGUGACUUGGGUGCGGCAGCACGUGCAUUCAAAAUCGCCGUUAAUUUACGUGCGGGUACGCUCCGACUUCUGUUCGUAGUUUGACUUACCUAUUAAUCGAACUGGCUUGUGUAGUAGGGUGUCUUUCCCCGGCUAUCAAGUAAGAUUUAAUGAAAGAAGAAGCAUGUGGCGCCAAUUGUGAUGCCUAUCCGGACCCGGGUUCGAUCCCCGGCACCUCCACCA